RNAcentral lists this ribosomal RNA (253 nucleotides) under uncultured bacterium. Its description in RNAcentral is "partial 16S ribosomal RNA". It matches the Rfam family "Bacterial small subunit ribosomal RNA", at positions 524 to 776 of the family's 1533-position model. The record is from RNAcentral.
UACGGAGGAUCCGAGCGUUAUCCGGAUUUAUUGGGUUUAAAGGGUGCGUAGGUGGCCUGUUAAGUCAGGGGUGAAAGACGGUAGCUCAACUAUCGCAGUGCCCUUGAUACUGUAGGGCUUGAGUAUAGAUGCCGUUGGCGGAAUAUGACAUGUAGUGGUGAAAUACAUAGAGAUGUCAUAGAACACCGAUUGCGAAGGCAGCUAACGAAGCUAUAACUGACACUGAGGCUCGAAAGUGCGGGGAUCAAACAGG